GCAGGUGGGGUGGGCGACUGAGCCCAGCCUGAGGCACGCAGACUCUUGUUACCCCCACCUCCGCAGCAAUGAGGUUCAGGGAUUAGAGCCUUGGUGAUGGGGAGCCCCCCAGAGGAUGCCAGCUCUGCACACACAAAGUAGGGCAGCCUUGCCCACCGACAGGAUGGGCCUUAUGACCUCACUGAAGGGGGCAGGUGAGCACAGACUGCUCAGUCCUGCUCUCCUGCCCCUUGGUUUCCCAAGCCCCUCCUCCUGGUUGCUUUCUUCUCCCCCAUCAGGCCCCAUCCCCUGCCAGUGCCACCUGGGUAGUGGACACACAGAGCCGGCCGCUCCCCAGGCUGUGGAAGAUGAAGGGAGGAGCAGACCCCGAGGCCUCAGGCAGGAGCUCAGCCUGCCCAGACCCGGCUGUCAAGCGAGGGCUCCUGUUUCUGAAGACUCUGGAUACCAGGGAGCCAGGACCUCCUUGUUGGCCAGGACACAGACCUACAUUCCAACAGGUAGAAUGGGGAGGUGGGUGAGACCUUUACAAGCCAGCAUCAGGAAAGGGCUCAUGGUCCUCGGAGAGAGCACGUGUGAGAAGGCCUGACAACUGGGCGGCUCUGGAGCUAAGCCCUGAGCAGCCAGUCAUGUGUUUAAUGAAACAAAACUUCUCAUGUA
This is a non-coding RNA of Macaca mulatta (Rhesus monkey), 657 nucleotides long. The record is from RefSeq and is a predicted model, not a curated record. NCBI's taxonomy places the organism in Eukaryota, Metazoa, Chordata, Mammalia, Primates, Cercopithecidae.